Molecule: transfer RNA, 73 nt
Filed under: Escherichia coli
Lineage: Bacteria; Pseudomonadati; Pseudomonadota; Gammaproteobacteria; Enterobacterales; Enterobacteriaceae
Description: tRNA-Gly
Rfam family: tRNA
About the family: Transfer RNA (tRNA) molecules are approximately 80 nucleotides in length.
Source: RNAcentral
GCGGGAAUAGCUCAGUUGGUAGAGCACGACCUUGCCAAGGUCGGGGUCGCGAGUUCGAGUCUCGUUUCCAAUA